Long non-coding RNA from Neltuma alba, 673 nucleotides. RefSeq lists it as uncharacterized. The record is from RefSeq and is a predicted model, not a curated record. Lineage: Eukaryota; Viridiplantae; Streptophyta; Magnoliopsida; Fabales; Fabaceae. The transcript is spliced from 2 exons.
GUAGCGAGUAAGGUCGGAGAUUAUGCAUUCAAGGCAUUCACGGCGGGUCUUGGACUUGCUACCAUUUACCUCACCGCCACUUCUUUCUCUGUUAAUGUUUAUCGAGGCCUUGCUUGGCCCAAUGCUCAAUCGAAACUUGAACCGCAAGACUCUAAUGAUCAGAGCCAAGCUUCAUGACUCGAUCUCAUAUUUUCAGUCAUCUAUCUGCUUGUUAUGCUUAAAACUGUGUAGAAAUAUAAUGCUUGCUUUUUGAAAAAAUCCAAACGAUGAGGCAAUAAUUAAUGCUCUGUGGGAAAGUCAUAAUGGCUUGAGUGGCUUUGAAAGUUUGCAAGUAGACCGAGUCCUCUUUAUCUAUAUAUGCCUUGCAUUUGACGUCUGAAGACUUUCUGUAAAGCCUCCUUUUGGAAUUUGGACAUCAUACGAAAAGUGAAACUCAAGAGUUGUAUUACGGAUAUAAGGAAUCUUAUUUGGGAUCAUUAGCCUGCCGUUUUGAUGAGUUUUUUAGAUUCAUUUACGUUUCAAUAAUCCGUUCCUGUCUUUUAAGACAAGUUGUUUGGGAUAAGGGCGGCCCUCAGUUGAGAAAUAUCAAAUAUGGGCUAGGAAAGAAGUUUCAAAUACUCCUGUAAGGGAUGAAUGAAUAGCUAUGAAAUGUGGUUUAACUUAUUUAUGUUCA